CGGGAUAGCUCAGCUGUAGAG
Molecule: transfer RNA, 21 nt
Filed under: Laportea alatipes
Lineage: Eukaryota; Viridiplantae; Streptophyta; Magnoliopsida; Rosales; Urticaceae
Description: partial tRNA-Phe
Source: RNAcentral